GAGCGAUAUAAUUUCGGCCGGCGAUUCGCCGGUAACUGAAGCGAAGAGUGGCACUGAUGGCGCUAGAAUUGCAGAGGUGAAGGCGUGGCUCGCCUCUCAAUUUGAUGCGGCUGGUAAAGAUGUUCCUGAAUUCGAAUAUACUCCUCGUAGCAUUGCUCAUUUGUACAAUUUGGCCUCCGUCUCCCAGGCCAAGACACAGGCUGCCAACAUCCUCG
Molecule: unclassified non-coding RNA, 215 nt
Filed under: Hevea brasiliensis (rubber tree)
Lineage: Eukaryota; Viridiplantae; Streptophyta; Magnoliopsida; Malpighiales; Euphorbiaceae
Source: RNAcentral